UCUCCUUUCUACAUAAUUAUUUAGUUGUAUGUAUAUUUUUAUCAUGCUUUGUGUCAAGGAAAAAAUUGGCCGGAUUGGUAAGUUCGAAUAGAAAUACUAAAAAUUGGAAUGUAUAUAUUGACAACUUAGGAAUUAAAAGGAAGGAAAAUGAAAGAGAGGGAGAAAAAUAGGAAAGAAGAAAAAUUUCUGAAGUUUGGAAUUAAGGAAAUGUUUGAAAGUAAGAGCUAUAGUUCCAAGAAAUCCUAUUUUCAACUCGUCAAUUGAUUCAAUCUUGCUUGUUGAAGCAUUGGUUCUCUAUCUAGAAAUACAUUGGAUGAAAUGAGGGGAAAAUAUCUUUUAGCAAUCAGGGUCUUAGUACUUAUUUUCCUCUCGCUGCUUGCAAACAAUCCCAUCUUGUCAUAGGUCUAACCUUGUAAGAAGUAAACAUGAAAGAGAGACAAAUUACAUAGGUCUAUUUAUAAUGUAUGUUUAUAGUCUGUUUAAUAAAGUAUGUAAUUGUCUGUUCAGUGAUCCUCCCCCCUCCCAAAAAAUAGAACUCUGAAUGAAUAAAGUAUGUCUAGUCAACUUAUUUGGUUUAAGUGUGAAAGUGUAUUUGUUAGUAUUUUAUUUUUAUUUUUAUCAAUGCUUUAUUUGUGCUAUUUAUUUUCUCUUACAACUUGGUGGAGGUUAUCUAUUUGGGUUGCCUUUGGGGUUCGUUGCUGAUUCUAUUGGUGCAACAAUUAGUGCUACAGCUGCAUUUAUUCUUGGUAGAACAGUGAGUAUUGUAGACCAUAGUUUUCUUUAAGGACAAUUAAUUUUUUAAUUUUCUUUAACUAGAUUUAAGAUGCUUGCAAGUUGAAAGUGCUUGUCAUAUAUUAGACCAUAUUUUUCCUCAUUUAUUGUGUUUAGUUUUAAUAUUUCAUUAUAGAUGCUUGCCUUAUAUUGAGCUCUAAUUUCAGAAAAUAAGAGAACUUCACUGGUUCUAUAGCAGGAUUUUACAUGACCAAACCAAUGUUUGAUUAGCUUAUAUUUGAUUAUACUCUGUUUGAUUAGCUUAAUGGUCCAUUGAUUGUGAAGAAAACAUAAAAACUAAAUUCUUCAUUUGCUCAUUUUGGAUAUAGCAUGCUCUCUUUAAUGUUAGUAGACUUCCAAAUCUUUGAAGUUAAAACCUUCUUUGUUUACUCUAAGCAAGUAGGAUAUGAUCUUCUGAUCCAAACCAAUAGUAAUUCAAUCUAGAAGUUAGCUGUACCAAACUAGUUUUUUAAGCUGUUGGUCUCGACAGAGUUGUUAAUUAGUUGUGGUGCUUAAGUAUAGAUGAUUGUUUGAUCUUAUAUGUGUUCCUAGUUAUGGUUGUUGUGGUGGUAUUGUUUUUGUACCAGUGGCAGUAAGGAGUUAUUUAUAUAUUUAUAACUUGAUUAGUGUGCAUUAAUAUAAUUAGGGGUGUGCAUAACAUGGUUCUCUUAUUCUGUUUUGAUAAAUGUUCCUUGCGUAUUAAACUACACAUUGUGGAAUGUGUCCAGUAUAUAAUAUAAAAUAUUCAAAAGCAGCAUGCUCAAGUGGUAGAUUAAGUAAAUCUUGCUGUCUAGGUUAUGGAAUCUCAUUAAUUAUAAAUUAAAAUUGUUACUAUGUCAAAGGAAUUAAAAUACACAUUGUGGAAUGUGUGUUCAGUAUAUAAUAUAGAAUAUAUGCUCAAGUGGCAGGUUAAGUGUGAGUAAGGGCGUAGUAAUUUUGUUUCUUAUGUGUAUUGUUUAGGCUCCUCUAGUUUAUCUACCAGAAAGGAACUUGCCUCCACCUCCUGCAUAUGUGAUGAACAACCUGGUGACUGAAACCAAUAUGUAUCAACACCAUCCACCCCAGAAAUUGAUAUGCUCUGUUAUGUUUGGUUCUUGUGGGCUUCUUACUUAGGGAUAGUUCAACAGUGUUCUUCUUCUUUGUAUUUUUUUGAUCUGAAAGCAUGCUGUAUAAACUUUAUUGCAUGGUCCUCUCUUGAUGAUGCCUUGUCUUUUGUUUUUAUAAGUAUUUUUUCGUUGUAACAAAAGUUGUCUUUGAGUUGUUCCUUGAGUCACUGCCAUGUGCAUCUUGUUUAAUACAUUCAGUGACUUGAAGGUAUGUCCUUGUUUGACUUCAGUUGAUUAGUGAAUAAUAUUGUAAAGUUUGGCAAAAAUGCAGAUUGAUACCACUAGUAAUUUUGCUGACUUUGAACUUCUCUUUUGCAGCUUUUUUUUGCUGACUUUGAACUUCUCUUUUGCAAAAAUGCAAACAUAUGAGUAAAUUGAGUUAUUAUUGUAGCUUUUUUUUAAUCAACGGCUGACCUCAAGUUUUGGGCUUUUGUUUUGCUUGUUUCUUAGUUUUAGCUCUCGGACUUGGAAAUUGUGAUAAUCAAGCCGUGACCCAAUUUUUGUUUAAAUCCUUUGAUGCUUUCCUCAUAUUAAUCUAGAUUUUAGGAUUCUCAUCUUUAAUAGCUGAACUUUUUUUUUUCUUUUGGAAAAAGUGACAUGUUUUAUGUUAUAUUUUGGGGCAUGUUAUUGUUCAGUUGAAGGUGGAAGGGUUUGAAAUACAAAGAGAAUUCCCAUUACAAAUGGAAUAGUAGUCUAAUUUGUAAUUAAGGCCUUUAUAUUGCUUCAUAAUUUACUGUCAUAUGGGAACAACAACAAAAGGCUGAAAGAUUUCAUAAUUUGUAAUUUACUGUCGUAAGAUUUUCUGGUUGUGUUAUGCUUCAAUGAACUUUGAUUUAUAAUAUAAUGGAAGAACUUUAUUAGAGGCUGAAAUCAGACACAAGUUGAUCUAAACCUCAUUUGAUAAACUAAAGUUAAUACAUGAUUUUUCUGCUUCUUUGGCACAAUUAUAGACACCAUUUUAUUAUUUUUUCCAUUUCAAAAUGUUGACUUUAUGGAUAAUAGAAUUGAAUCUUAGGGUGACUUGUGAUCAACAAGUUGCUUGAAACUGAUCUACAAGAGCUGUUGCUGUUCUUUUACUUUUAGUUGUUGCUCUUCUUUGUGUGUAUGAACUUUGUGUUGUGAAUGUUACAGGUGGUUCAGCAAUUGUGUAUCAGCAAUUGCCUUAGCAAUUAACCUUCUCUUUAUAUGUAGAAUGGUGUUUAAUGGUACAUGCAGUUCUCUUGUCUGAAGUUUUGGUCAUUUGUUUCUAUGUUUUCUGCCGUUGCAAUAACAAUUGAAUCUAUUAUGUACAAGAUCUAUAGUUUGCCACCUAUUAUGUGCCACAGAAAAUCUGUUUCUUAUUGCAAAGUUUUAAUAUUGAUAUUUCUUUCCAUGCUUAUUUUUGCAUGACUAGAGCUAAUUUUCAGAUUAAGCAUGCCCAGCAUCUUACACCUGGGACUGCAGACUGAUUUGGUGAACUAGGGAUUAUUGCUUCAGUACAGGUUCAUCACAGCUAUCUGUUGCAUUCUAGUAACAUACUGUAACAUUUAAGAAUUUGGAAAUAUCUUGUCUUGAAAAGAAUUUGGAUAUGAGCCUCGGUGUAGUCGCCAAAGAAACUAAAUCUGGUCUAACUGUAAGUCUUCUAUAUAUCAUAUUAACUGAAAAUCUAGCUUUCUAGAGACUACAGAGAUAUUGAUUACUGCUAAAUUAUUCAUGCUAUAUUAUAGGAAGAUGACAUGGUAUUUAACUGAAACUAAUCUAGAUUUCUGAUGAACACUUAAAAUCUUGUGCAACUGGGAUAUCUAACUGAAACUAAUCUAGAUUUCUGAUGUUUUGACAAUACUAAUUAACUAAAAGCUUCUGCAGCAAUACCUGCUAGGCUGUGUGUUUUGCUUUAAUGGGCAUUGAGUGUGGUAAAUAUUGUUCUUUUCCUGUGUACUGUGUUAUGUUUUUUUCUUGCCACGUUAAUGCUCUUGUCUCUUAUCAUUUGCCCAGGGUUGUUGAGAUCAUCUGUACUUUGGUCAGGAAAUUAUCUCCUAAUCCUAAUAGUGCUGCUAUGAUGGCCAUGGGUGUUAACAUCUUGGAAAAGAGAUUGAAAUGAUUGGGGUUCUUGAUUGAGUUUCUAUCCCAUGCUGCCAUUGUUGGGUUCAUGGGAGGAGCUGCCAUUACAAUUGCCCUUCAACAACUCAAAAGAUUGCUUGGCAUAAAAAAGAAUUUCACAAAGAAGACAGAUAUUGUCUCUGUUUUGCGCUCAGUGUUUAAUUCAACCCACCAUGUUGUAAUAUGAUUUCUUAAGCCUAGACUAGUAGACUAAAUAUUGUAAUUACAUUUGAGUAAUUAAUAAAAAUCUAUUUAUGUUA
Molecule: long non-coding RNA, 4216 nt
Organism: Humulus lupulus (European hop)
Lineage: Eukaryota; Viridiplantae; Streptophyta; Magnoliopsida; Rosales; Cannabaceae
Exons: 3
Source: RefSeq, a predicted model, not a curated record